Molecule: ribosomal RNA, 247 nt
Filed under: uncultured bacterium
Lineage: Bacteria
Description: partial 16S ribosomal RNA
Rfam family: Bacterial small subunit ribosomal RNA
Source: RNAcentral
CGGUAGGUGGCAAGCGUUGUCCGGAAUUAUUGGGCGUAAAGCGCGCGCAGGCGGCUUCUUAAGUCCAUCUUAAAAGUGCGGGGCUUAACCCCGUGAUGGGAUGGAAACUGAGAGGCUGGAGUAUCGGAGAGGAAAGUGGAAUUCCUAGUGUAGCGGUGAAAUGCGUAGAGAUUAGGAAGAACACCGGUGGCGAAGGGCGACUUUCUGGACGACAACUGACGCUGAGGCGCGAAAGCGUGGGGAGCAA